Molecule: long non-coding RNA, 337 nt
Filed under: Struthio camelus australis
Lineage: Eukaryota; Metazoa; Chordata; Aves; Struthioniformes; Struthionidae
Description: lncRNA (ENSSCUG00000006549.1)
Source: RNAcentral
AAAAUGCAUCCUUUUCAGGUUUGACAUGGCCAGUAUCAUCACACGAAACAUAAUAUUGCAACACUGUCAUUGGGAAUUGUCUGCAACACAGACAGAUGCUUCCUCACCGUUGGCAUAUGGGAACUAACACAUUCAACCUGAAAAUGAACCUGAGUAGUUACAGCUGAACUGUGCUGCUGCAUGUGUUGGAAACCUCUCCUUCACCUAAGUAAUCCUGAUGCUUCUUGCUCCAUCUAGUUAGCUCCAAAGCUUUGAAAUUAAUACUGGCAAGUCAAAGUCAGUGCAGAACCGCUGUGCUCAUUGCUGGCUGAAUAAACAGCAGAGAAGAAAAGGGCCA